UCCUCCUUACAGAGGCAGUUUUGUCCGAGUUCCCGACAUUACUCGCUGGCAACAGACAAUGAGGGUUGCGCUCGUUGCGGGACUUAACCCAACAUUUCACGACACGAGCUGACGACAGCCAUGCAGCACCUGUGCAUGCUCCCCUUGCGGGGUCGUUCCUCUUUCAAGGUUCUACCACAUGCAUGUCAAGGCCAGGUAAGGUUCUUCGCGUUGCAUCGAAUUAAGCCACAUGCUCCGCCGCUUGUGCGGGUCCCCGUCAAUUCCUUUGAGUUUUAGCCUUGCGGCCGUAGUCCCCAGGCGGGGCACUUAUCGCGUUUGCUUCGGCACCGGGGGGGUCGAUACCCCCGACACCUAGUGCCCAUCGUUUACGGCGUGGACUAC
This 381-nucleotide unclassified non-coding RNA is filed under the name uncultured bacterium. RNAcentral describes it as "contains 16S-23S intergenic spacer region". The record is from RNAcentral.